This is a long non-coding RNA of Athalia rosae (coleseed sawfly), 850 nucleotides long. RefSeq lists it as uncharacterized. The record is from RefSeq and is a predicted model, not a curated record. Lineage: Eukaryota; Metazoa; Arthropoda; Insecta; Hymenoptera; Athaliidae. The transcript has 7 exons.
UCAGAAGAAUCGGUAUACAGAAUUUCCCAGGUGAUUGAUGACACUGUUUGUUGGCAGCUAAGGUAAUUGCAUUCUUGGUCUCGAAAUGGAAAACACUCAGAGGAUCAGAGGCUACAGUCUCCAGACAUUUGCGAUUGUUGGGGCUGGACAAUGAACCCAAGCAACAGUGAAGCUAUGUGUCAGUUUUAUUUCAAUAUGGAUACAGCGUCUCAAUGGCAAAUGCAGAAGAAUCGGUAUACCGAAUUUCCCAGGUGAUUGAUGACACUGUUUGUUGGCAGCUAAGGUGAUUAAAUAGUUCAUGAGGAAAUUGGAAAAAUAGGAGAGAAUUGCUGACAGUUCGUAGGAGGUAAUUGCAUUCUUGGUCUCGAAAUGGAAAACACUCAGAGGAUCAGAGGCUACAGUCUCCAGACAUUUGCGAUUGUUGGGGCUGGACAAUGAACCCAAGCAACAGUGAAGCUAUGUGUCAGUUUUAUUUCAAUAUGGAUACAGCGUCUCAAUGGCAAAUGCAGAAGAAUCGGUAUACCGAAUUUCCCAGGUGAUUGAUGACACUGUUUGUUGGCAGCUAAGGUGAUUAAAUAGUUCAUGAGGAAAUUGGAAAAAUAGGAGAGAAUUGCUGACAGUUCGUAGGAGGUAAUUGCAUUCUUGGUCUCCCAAUGGAAAACAGUCAGAGGAUCAGAGGCUACAGUCUCCAGACAUUUGCGAUUGUUGGGGCUGGACAAUGGAACUAAGCAACAGUGAAGCUACGUGUCAGUUUUAUUUGAAUAUGGAUACAGCGUCUCAAUGGAAAAUGCAGAAACAAAUGCUGUUCUUUGACAGAACUAUGGCCAUUGCACGCUAUGGCCAUUUUGUC